AUUAAUCGUCCUUAUAUGUACUCGGGAACGUUCGUCCUUUAGGUUUUCUCCUGGCGCAUGGGCGCCGCCAAUCAUUUCGGGGCUUAUUUUGGUUCUAAAGCCCGGGGCAGCCAGGCCUCCCUGCCUGGCCUCGGCGGGGACGCGGGACCUGGGGCCCCGGACCGGGCCUAACCGCCCUGGCCGGUCCCCACUGAUGGUGGCGGUCGGUCCUGAUCGUCCUGAUGGCAGCGACCAGGCUGGACUCGGGCUGUGCAGGGGCGAGGGGAGCAGGGCGGGGUGACGCCCGGAGAGCGGCCUGGAGAGCGCGUGCUUCAGAAGGCGUGGGCACCCUGUCCCCUUUGCAGAUGGGGAUGCAGGCCCUGGUGGCGGUGGAGGGGAGAUGGGGGCAGGGACGUUGCCGGGCAGAGGAAGCUGGCCAUUCCUGGGGGAUUCCUGGGAGCCAUGUGGGAGAGGCGUGAGGAAGUGAGACCUUCACCCCGAGACAGGUCCUGACACACCCUCUGGUGCCUCUACUCAAGUGAGAAGUUUGGCUGCUGUAACUGACUGGGAAGCUUAAAAUAACAGACAAUCAUCUCUCACAUUUAUGGGGACUGGGAAGUCCAAGACCAAGUUGCCAUCUGGGGAGGGCCUGUUCCUCACAGCGCCUUCCAGCUCAGGCCUCGUUUAUAAGGGCACUCAAGCCUUCCACGACAACGGGUCCUCAUGACUUACUCACCUCGGAAAGCCCCACCCCCAAGACCAUCACAUUGUGGGUGAUGGCAGAGCAUAAGGUGCCUUCCCCACAUGCUCGGGUUGGCCCAGCGUCUCACGCUAGCAGCUACGUGGAAUAGUUAUUUUUUCUGGAGAACUCUGGGACCCCUCUGAUGUCUUGGAGCACCCACACAGGCCGUUCACUGUGCACGCUGUGAGGCUGUCGUCUUGGAGCACCCACACAGGCCGUUCACUGUGCACGUGGUGAGGCUGUCCUCUGGGGAGUUCUGCUGUUGUAUGGGUUCUGUCUGUGUCAAUGUCCCAGCGGGAACGCAGGGCACACUAGCGUCAUCCCCAGAGGGCUUGGUAAGGGGACUGUUUGCAGAGACAUAGGCAGAGGGCUGGAAAACUACCAAAAAAGUGCAGUGUUCUGGACCUAAUAAUAGCAGAGCUAUUCUCACCCUGGUCUGAAGGCAGGAGGGGAGGAGCAGUUAAUGGAUUCUGGAAGUCAGGUUGCACAGAGUCACCUUGAAAGAUGCCAUGACCUUCACCGAGGGCCAGACAGAGACUAAGAUGACCCCAUAGGAGAAUAAGACCUAGACCUCAUCCUCCUGCCUCCUGCCAGUCCCUGCCAGGGGUCGCCAAUGGCAAAACAGGACUGGAAGCCAGAGGCCAUGGAAGCCCAUGGAUGAAGUCCACAGGCCAGCCUCCCCGAGAGCAGCCUGGACGGUCCGCAGGAGACGUCUCCUGUCUUAGGCGUCCCACGCCGCGUGCUCCUGUUCAGCCCUGCCGAGGUGGAAGCUUGGAGUGGCUCACGGUGGAUGCAUUGACGCUGCAGACGCCAGCAAGUGCUACAAACCAGAGCUGGCCUUUAACUCAGACUGAUGGAGAAGGUGUUAAUAAUGCAGAUUAGACUUAAAAGUGUUGAAGCCAUUGCACUGUGAACAGCAAAAAAAUUGAAGAACUCUUCUGGCAUUUAAAAACAAUUACUCAGUUCAGCAGAGAAGUCACUGACAAACGAGAUCACACUGACUGCUUUGUCGUUUUGGUUUUGUCUUACUCAUUAAUGCAAAUAAGAACAUUCACUAGCAUCUGUGUCGGGCCUACCCUCCCUGGUCAAAUACAGCUACAGUCUCCCUGCAGAAACGAGUUUUCCAGAAAUGAGCCGAUGUUUUCUGCGAGAAUCAAUUGGUCAUAUACAAUUUACAAAAAUGAGUACUGUAUACUAUAUUUGUAAACUGUACACUGCAGAUGCUUUAUUUCACUGAAAUUUAUAAUACACUUAUCCAUGUAUAUGCAUGCAUGCAUUUUUGUUCCUGAGAUCCAGCUGUGAAAUGUUUACCAGCACAUAAAUUACCAGCACAUGCUCUUUUUUGUUAACCUACUAGGUAAAAUCUUCAUUUAUUACAUCAAAUUCUUGUAGUUUUUGUAUUGCAAUUAUGCAGAUAUUGAUUAUCGCAGUAUUACUGCAAUUAUACAGAUACCACAAUUUCAGAUAUUGAUCAGCGUGUUCAGUUGGUUUCUAAGGAGGUUUACUUACCUCAUGGUACACCUAGUUUGCAUAGUUUGAUUAUAUUUAACUCUUAUGCUAAUUGGGGGAAGUCAUUGAUUUAUUGGACAGAUGCACCUGUGGUCUUCCCUGAGCACAUCCUGGCCAAGGAUGCUGCCCCCAGGAGAUUUGAGAAGUCCUGUAAGGAUCAUAUCAGUAUUUUCAAAUACUUAUAGAAAAGCCAGAGGGAUUGACCCAGAAUUACCAAUAUAAGCUUGACCCUGAGAUAACAAUGCCAUUUUAUGUUUGCAUGCAUAAAACCAAUGCAAGAGGCUGAUGACUCCAGAUCCCUUAUAUAAGCCAAUAAAAAGUAGUUUCAUUUUUUAUUUCAUUUAA
This 2575-nucleotide long non-coding RNA is filed under the name Homo sapiens (human). RNAcentral describes it as "non-protein coding lnc-FAM20C-3:10". The record is from RNAcentral. Lineage: Eukaryota; Metazoa; Chordata; Mammalia; Primates; Hominidae.